UUCUCUCUUGUGACGUCUUUUUCUCCUUGGUCUUUGAUUAUGAUCAUCUUUCUCGUCUUGCAUCGUUGUGGUUUUCUCUCUUGUAUCUUUUCUCUCACGAGUCGCUGCUAUUAUGUGGCUUUGUUGUGACUUGUGACUAAUAACUCUAUGUAUCUAAAUAUCUAUGCUUAUAUAAUAUGUAUAGUUACUAGUAAGAGUCAGCAGUCGGCGGUCAGCACUCCAUAGGGUUAAUGGGUUAUGCGUAUAUUAUUUGCUUUAAUAGUACAAUUAAUAUAAUACAUCAACACUAGCUUAUGAUUGAUGAGUGGAAGGACAUAAUAACUUGCCUACUUGGCAUGUGCCUAUCUGUAAAUUGUUUUUUAGGAUAAUGCUAGUAGGGUCUCAAUUGUACUUAUCAUCAUUAUAUUGGUAUGUAAUAAUUGCUAAUGACCCACCAUGAUAUUGUACAAUCAAUAUAAUGAUAACAUGUGUAUUUGAAAGUUGAAACACAUUGAGACCCUUAGCAUCACCCAUUUUUUUAACCAUCACAUAUCAACUAGGACUACUACAACCUGUUUCAACCUUAUUCUAGUUUCAUCAUUCAUCUCACA
Molecule: long non-coding RNA, 590 nt
Filed under: Panax ginseng (ginseng)
Lineage: Eukaryota; Viridiplantae; Streptophyta; Magnoliopsida; Apiales; Araliaceae
Description: long non-coding RNA (PGIN_LNC016884)
Source: RNAcentral